CCUACGGGGGGCAGCAGUGGGGAAUAUUGGACAAUGGGGGCAACCCUGAUCCAGCCAUGCCGCGUGUGUGAAGAAGGCCCUCGGGUUGUAAAGCACUUUCAGUGAGGAAGAACGCCUGGUGGUUAAUACCCAUCAGGAAAGACAUCACUCACAGAAGAAGCACCGGCUAAACUCCGUGCCAGCAGCCGCGGUAAUACGGAGGGUGCGAGCGUUAAUCGGAAUUACUGGGCGUAAAGCGCGCGUAGGUGGCUUGAUAAGCCGGUUGUGAAAGCCCCGGGCUCAACCUGGGAACGGCAUCCGGAACUGUCAAGCUAGAGUGCAGGAGAGGAAGGUAGAAUUCCCGGUGUAGCGGUGAAAUGCGUAGAGAUCGGGAGGAAUACCAGUGGCGAAGGCGGCCUUCUGGACUGACACUGACACUGAGGUGCGAAAGCGUGGGUAGCAAACAGGAUUAGAUACCCCAGUAGUC
This 466-nucleotide ribosomal RNA is filed under the name Vreelandella stevensii. RNAcentral describes it as "partial 16S ribosomal RNA". It matches the Rfam family "Bacterial small subunit ribosomal RNA", at positions 338 to 795 of the family's 1533-position model. The record is from RNAcentral. Lineage: Bacteria; Pseudomonadati; Pseudomonadota; Gammaproteobacteria; Oceanospirillales; Halomonadaceae.